GGGGCCGUAGCCCAACGGUAGAGGCGGCAGUCUUAGGAACUGUACAGAGCGGGUUCGAAUCCCGUCGGCCCCA
RNAcentral lists this transfer RNA (73 nucleotides) under Streptosporangium nondiastaticum. RNAcentral's name for it is "tRNA-Leu". It matches the Rfam family "tRNA". From Rfam's summary of the family: Transfer RNA (tRNA) molecules are approximately 80 nucleotides in length. Their secondary structure includes four short double-helical elements and three loops (D, anti-codon, and T loops). RNAcentral also lists the same sequence under 1 other name. Lineage: Bacteria; Bacillati; Actinomycetota; Actinomycetes; Streptosporangiales; Streptosporangiaceae. The record is from RNAcentral.